CAUAGAGAUAUUAGACAUGUAGACAUUUAUACAUAUAUAUGUAUAUACUGAUGUACAUACAAUACGUUUAUGUAAAUAUACAUACACACACACAUAUAUAUGUCAUAU
RNAcentral lists this microRNA precursor (108 nucleotides) under Mesocricetus auratus (golden hamster). RNAcentral describes it as "miRNA (ENSMAUG00000003297.1)". Lineage: Eukaryota; Metazoa; Chordata; Mammalia; Rodentia; Cricetidae. The record is from RNAcentral.